UCAAACUUGGUCAUUUAGAGGAAGUAAAAGUCGUAACAAGGUUUCCGUAGGUGAACCUGCGGAAGGAUCAUUAACGAAGUCGCAAGUCGGUCGACCGUGCUGGCGGAGACGCACGUGCACGUCGGUCGCAAACCAUCCACACACCCGUGAACGUAUGGCCUCGAGUCUGAACGGCUCGGGGCAACCAUUUUUACCCACUCUGAUCGUAAAGGAAUGUCUCUGUGCUGAAUGCGCAAAAGCAAACAACUUUCAACAACGGAUCUCUUGGCUCUCGCAUCGAUGAAGAACGCAGC
Molecule: unclassified non-coding RNA, 293 nt
Filed under: uncultured fungus
Lineage: Eukaryota; Fungi
Description: partial contains small subunit ribosomal RNA, internal transcribed spacer 1, and 5.8S ribosomal RNA
Rfam family: Eukaryotic small subunit ribosomal RNA (bases 1-73)
Source: RNAcentral